Engraulis encrasicolus (European anchovy) is the source of this 794-nucleotide long non-coding RNA. RefSeq lists it as uncharacterized. The transcript is spliced from 2 exons. The record is from RefSeq and is a predicted model, not a curated record. NCBI's taxonomy places the organism in Eukaryota, Metazoa, Chordata, Actinopteri, Clupeiformes, Engraulidae.
UAUUACGGUUACAUUUAUUACCCUAUUUCCUUUGUGUUUGUCUAUGUAGUUGCAAUUUCAUUUCCCAUCCACUAGGUGGCAGUAUAGAUACUGUUUGGAAUUGAGAGACGUAGAUGAAGAGCACUGGUUGCUACGGAGACAGAGCGAGAUAACAAUGAAAGAAAACGAUCGCAUUGAAGAACAAUAGUAAGAGAAAGAAGAUCACAACUUAAUUUAUUUACUUUAUUUUCAUGAAACAGUUGAAGAACUUUAUUUUGUUUAAGUUAUAAUACUUUUGAGAAGCAAGAUUUGUUUGAAAGAAGAUCCGGACUGCACUGGUUAUGUUUAUUUCUUUCCUUUCCUCCGGUUGGUUUUUUUUAAGAGCUUGAUUCCCAACGAACUAUCGCCGAACUUCCCUGGGUGCACGCGCGGCCAGCAGCAGUGACUGAGGAGCGUCUGGCCACUUGUCUCCUACAGCCGCGUCUCGUUCUCCAUCCAGGCUCCAGAGAUAAGGAGAUCCAUUGCACACACCCGCACGUGGGACACAUAAAAAAACCUACUACCCGGGUAGAUUGACACUUUUGGACGUUGAUAUUAUUUAUUUAUUUAUUUAAUUAUUUUAUUUUAUUUCUUUAAGCCAGAGCUCUGAGGUUUUCUUUUCUACUUUCUUAUUUCUUCUAUUUUUUCUAUUUAUUCUUCCUCCUUGAUGAAAAGGACAAUACCAAGGACAAUCUAAGGAGUCUAUACAGAGAAAAGAGUUCUCACUUGAAUGUUGUUUUUACAUGAAUAAAUGCCGGCAAUGCUUUGAAACUUUA